CUAUAAACGUGAAUGCCCCGGUUUAUGAGACAUUUUACUAGGUGUACCAUGUAACACGGACAUGUGUAUUUCGGCUUGUCCCGAUUAAGUGAGACGGUGUACAUUUAUAAGAUUUUAUAUUGUUAAUAUGUUAUAUUAAUUAUAAAAAUAGUGCAAUUAUAUGUCAUAAAAUAUUGGCUGUUAUUAAAACCUCAAAUAUUUUUCUAAAAGCUAAGUAAAAAGUAAUUUAUAAUAAAAAGCUGAGAUAAUGAGGCAUAAACAAAAUCCUAAAGAGACAAAAACUCAAUCAUCAAAUUCAACCAAAAAAAAGUGUUGUGUUCCAAUGUGAAUAAUAAACUGAAGAAAAAAAAGUUAAAAGGCUUAAGUAAUUAUGAUUCGUCAAAUAUAGAAAAAGCUUUAAAAGCAGUAGAAGACACAGAGAUGUCCUUGAGAAAAGCAGCUGCUGUUUAUGGAGUACCGAUUGCUACCUUUGUUAGAUGAAAAAGUAUUAGUCCUGAGAAGGCAAAAAUUAGAACUGAGCCAGCGACAGUAUUAUCUUUAAAAGAAGAGGAUGUUAUUGUUCAGUUGUUAUUCUACAGAGCAGCAAUAGGGUCACCUGUGACGAAAACUGACUUAUUAAAGAUUCUUGUCUAAGGACAAUCAUUCUAAUGUGAUAAACUGUGAAUAAAAUAAUUUAACUAAUGAUGGACAACUUUUUACGGUUAUAUAUGAAUCUAGUCAAGUUAGUCUUCAAGAAUCAUUAACUGAUAGCAAUAAUGUAAUACGGUGCCCUUCUAAAGACUUUAGUGUCUUUAAUUAAGAUGAUCCUCUCUACAUUCCUUUCUCAAUCCUUUCCUACCAAUAUCCUGUUACGUGAAUGUGGAACGC
Molecule: long non-coding RNA, 867 nt
Filed under: Cotesia glomerata
Lineage: Eukaryota; Metazoa; Arthropoda; Insecta; Hymenoptera; Braconidae
Description: uncharacterized LOC123274196, transcript variant X2
Source: RNAcentral